UUUCAAUCAAAGGACCGGUAUCGCCCACCAUGACACAUCGUCUGCUACAACAAGAUGGCGGCUGUCAAAAUGCAUAGGGCGAAGCUAGUGAGCCCCGGAAAAUUGUAGUUUUCCCAGUAACGGAGAUUAACAGCUGGUGUCACAUAAGGCCAUAGAAUGUUUCCCAGAUCCUCUGCUUGGUGUCACUGCUCUUGCUCUGCUUUCCAAGGAACUAAAGGACCGUUAUCGCCCACCAUAAAACAUGGUCUGCUUAAACAAGAUGGCGGCUGACAAAACACAUUGGGCAAGGCUUGAGAGCCUUGAAAUAUUGUAGUUUUCGCAGUAAUAGAGGAACCAUGCCAUAAUGGGAGAUGGACUAGAGAUGAGGAGAAAUUUUUGACAGUUUGUGGAGAGCAGGGGGGUGGAAAAUAUCAAAUACACAGAGUGGAAGGACUGUGCCGAAGACCAGAGAAAUGGGUGUACAGACUGAUGUAACUUUUGGGCCUAUGAUUGAAGUGACCUGGGCAUGUAGCAGUCAUGCACUUUAUACCACUCAUUCGCAUUCCUUAAUUAGAUCUAUGUUAUCAAAUGUAUCAGUCAGUGAACCAGCCUCACCCGCCAUACGCUCACAGAUCUGCCAUGUCUCUGACAUACCUUCAACCGAUGCCACUUCUCCAUUUGGUGCCCGAACAAAACUACUCGCAACCACUUACAGUCAGUGAACCAGCCGCACCUGCUAUAUGCUCACAGACCUGCCAUGUCUCUGACAUACCGUCAACUGAUGCCACUUCUCCGUUGGUGCCUAAACAAAACUGCUUGCAACCACUUACAGUCAGUGAACCAGCCUCACCAGUUGUCUGUUGUUCAAUUAUGCUUGAGCAUAACUAAGCAAAUCAAAAGAGAACCCAAAUCUUAUCAAAGAAAAAGAUUAAAAGGCAGAAAUGAAUAAAUGCUCAAUUAUCGCAUUAACAGAUUUCUUUGCCAUUUGGCAUGGAUACUUUCACAAGUUCAGGAAAAAGCUGAGAUGGGUUAUCAAUUUGCAAAUGUUUGUUAAUGAGGUUAAUGUUCACUUGUAUAUUUUCACCAUAUAUUUGGGGCCAUUCAAAUUGGAUUGUGUGAUAUUAAUUCUAUGAUCAUGUUGUACUGUUGUUUUGUGCAGUAUCGAAGAAAGAUAUUUCAGUGUUAUAACUAUUUAUUCUUGUAACUAAUAUCAAUCCCAGCUGUAU
Molecule: long non-coding RNA, 1205 nt
Organism: Haliotis rufescens (red abalone)
Lineage: Eukaryota; Metazoa; Mollusca; Gastropoda; Lepetellida; Haliotidae
Exons: 3
Source: RefSeq, a predicted model, not a curated record